GUUAGAUUGUUUUUGUCCCCAUGGUAGUUCGCAGUGCUCUCACGCACCCUAGUUCGCAGUGCUCUCACGCACCCUAGUUCGCAGUGCUCUCACGCACCCUAGUUCGCAGUGCUCUCACGCACCCUAGUUCGCAGUGCUCUCACGCACUUGUUUCGCCUCUAGCCAUAGCUAGUUUCAGGCUAGUGUCUCAUUGCCUGAGAGCUACAUUUUGUAUCCUUAGUUUUUGGCCUUUUGCCCUGUUCCUGAUCUUUUGUGUUUUGGAGUUUCCAUUGUGGAGGUAUCUUGUGUUUUUGGAUUUCAACCUUUUGAAAAUAAAAGAAACUAAGUUCGAAACGACAUCUCGCACUUGGGUCCUCUCUGACACACUUGGCUGAAACGCUGGUUCCCAAAUCCAGCGACUCGGGUCCCAUCCCCGAGAGCGAUCCUGACAGAACGACCCGAUCAACAUGGACCCAGCAGGUGUUACUCAACAGCGAUCGUUGGAGCAGAUCAGGGAGACACUGCUUCAGGGCGAGCAAGCCUUGGCGGAGCAACGGGAGUAUAUUAUCCAGCAGAAGGAUCCCGCUCGCCAGCAGGAGGACAUAGCUCGUUACCUUCGCUACAUGCAACGACUGGAACAAGUGAAGGCAUUACUACCGCCUUCUCUCCAUUUUCCCGUGCAACCUGGGCCACCGCGCUACAACGGCAAUCCAGGUGGUUGCAGACGCUUCCUCCUCCAAUGCCAUCUGGAGCUGAAGCGCCGGUCCGUCACCCUCUCCUCCGAACAGUCGCGCAUUGUCUUCAUGAUUGUCUUGCUCUCAGGCAAGGCCCUGGCACUGGCAACCGCCAUCUGGGAGAAGCAAGGCCCCGAGUGCUCUAGCCUCAGGGCGUUCCAGGCAGUGAUGCUGUGGGUCUACGACCGGGUUACGAUGGACAGCUUUGAGGCCGCCAUUGCCUCUGCCCUGGAGAGAGACGCCGCCCUGAACCCUGCUCUCCCGAUGACUGCUGCCGAUCCAGAUGCACCCAGCCUGGAUGCAGCAGCUUUGGAUGUCCCCAUCCCGAGUGAACCAGGCAGCCCGGAUGCCGCAGUUCCGGAUGCCGCCAGCCCGAGUGAACCAGGCAGCCCCGAUGCCGCCAGCCCUGGCGAACCAGGAACCCCCGAUGCCUCCAGCCCCGGCGAACCAGGCAGCCCCGAUGCCGCCAGCCCCGGCGAACCAGGCAGCCCCGAUGCCGCCAGCCCCGGCGAACCAGGCAGCCCCGAUGCCGCCAGCCCCGGCGAACCAGGCAGCUCCGAUGCCGCCAGCCCGGAGGCCGAAGCUCCGGGGGCCAACAGCCCCGACCCGGCAGCCUCUGCUGCCGACCCAGAAUCCGCAGCCACCGCUGCCGACCAAGACCCCGCAGCCACCGCUGACGACCCAGACCCCGCAGCCACCGCUGACGACCCAAACCCCGCAGCCACCGCUGACGACCCAGACCCCGCAGCCACCGCUGACGACCCAGACCCCGCAGCCACCGCUGACGACCCAGACCCCGCAGCGACCGCUGACAACCCAGAAUCCGCAGCCAUCGCUGCCGACCCAGAAUCCUCAGCCACCGCUGACGACCCAGAAUCCUCAGCCACCGCUGCCGACCCAGACCCCGCAGCCACCGCUGCCGACCCAGACUCCGCAGCCUCCGCUGACGACCCAGAAUCCUCAGCCACCGCUGCCGACCCAGACCCCGCUGCCACCGCUGCCGACCCAGACCCUCCAGCAUCCCUUCCCGAUGCGGGCCCAGCAGCCCUCUUUGCCGACACCAGCCCAGCAGCAACCCCUGAUGACGUCUCAGAUGGCGUUGCUGCUGUUGACUCCGCCGCCCCGGGCGAUCCGGCCCAAGGCGCCCCUGGCGCUCCUGUCCCUGUCCCAAGCACCCCAGGCGUCUGUGUUCCUGUCCCAGGCAUCCCUGCUCCCGUCCCAGGCGCAGGUGCCCUUGUCUCCAGUGUCCUCUGCGACUGCCCCAGCCACUGGUCCUGCAACUCCAGCCGUCGCUGACCCGGCAGCCUCCGCUGGUGCUGCAAUCCUGACCUCAUCCCCUGACGGCUCCUUCCCGAGCCUGGCCAGGGAGAUGCUUCUUGGUCUCCUUGAUCUCUGUUCGCCUGACUGUUCGCCUCACUCUGGUCGUCCACCCGACCUGCCGCCAAUAACUCAACCCCAGCCGCCAAUAACUUUUGUCCCCAUGGUUGUUCGCAGUGCUCUCACGCACCCUAGUUCGCAGUGCUCUCACGCACCCUAGUUCGCAGUGCUCUCACGCACUUGUUUUGCCUCUAGCCAUAGCUAGUUUCAGGCUAGUGUCUCCUUGCCUGAGAGCUACAGUUUUUGGCCUUUUGCCCUGUUCCUGAUAUUUUGUGUUUUGGAGUUUCCAUUGUGG
Molecule: long non-coding RNA, 2385 nt
Organism: Clupea harengus (Atlantic herring)
Lineage: Eukaryota; Metazoa; Chordata; Actinopteri; Clupeiformes; Clupeidae
Source: Ensembl